GAUGGGCUCUGAUUUACAGUGAGGGAGAUCUUAUCCCAGCUUGAUGUCAUUAGGACUCAGCUUUAGUCUUGGCCCUCCGCAUCCAGUGAGCCAGCCUUUAUCCAGUCCAUUGCUUUCUGUCCUUCGAUAUCUUCCUGUCAGAUCAAACCCUUCGAUCGAGGAUGAGGCUAAUCAUCUUUUACCUAUCUUGAGCUCGUUGCACAU
This 204-nucleotide long non-coding RNA is filed under the name Elaeis guineensis (African oil palm). RNAcentral's name for it is "long non-coding RNA (EGUI_LNC073290)". Lineage: Eukaryota; Viridiplantae; Streptophyta; Magnoliopsida; Arecales; Arecaceae. The record is from RNAcentral.